UACGGGGGGGGCAAGCGUUGUUCGGAAUUACUGGGCGUAAAGGGCUCGUAGGUGGCCAACUAAGUCAGACGUGAAAUCCCCAGGCUCAACUUGGGAACUGCGUCUGAUACUGGAUGGCUUGAAUCCGGGAGAGGGAUGCGGAAUUCCAGGUGUAGCGGUGAAAUGCGUAGAUAUCUGGAGGAACACCGGUGGCGAAGGCGGCAUCCUGGACCGGCAUUGACGCUGAGGCGCGAAAGCCAGGGGAGCAAACGGG
This 253-nucleotide ribosomal RNA is filed under the name uncultured bacterium. Its description in RNAcentral is "partial 16S ribosomal RNA". It matches the Rfam family "Bacterial small subunit ribosomal RNA", at positions 524 to 776 of the family's 1533-position model. The record is from RNAcentral.